CAGACCCGACUUCCCGUUCUUUUCCUAAUCUGGGGGAAAUUUCCCAGAGAACAUGAAGGAGAAGCAUCCGUGUGUGAGACUGGCAUGCAGCGUGAUGAUGGUGCAGAGGAGGACACCGACAAGGAGAAGAAGACAGGGGAGAAGAGAAGGAGAAAUGGGAUGUUGAAGGGCCUACGAGAAUCCUCCAACUAGAAAAUUCUUUCUUGAAUAGCUGGAUUGUGAUUUAUCAAGGUAUUUGAUUUUGAGCAAAGAGAAUGAGUAGAUAUGUUGCUAUUUUCCUGACAAGAAAGUGAUCUUAUCUCAUUGGAAUUAUGGUAAUAAACUAUUCCUUAAAAUAAUCAA
Ictidomys tridecemlineatus (thirteen-lined ground squirrel) is the source of this 342-nucleotide non-coding RNA. The record is from RefSeq and is a predicted model, not a curated record. Lineage: Eukaryota; Metazoa; Chordata; Mammalia; Rodentia; Sciuridae.